RNAcentral lists this ribosomal RNA (2989 nucleotides) under Salmonella enterica subsp. enterica serovar Infantis. RNAcentral's name for it is "23S ribosomal RNA". It matches the Rfam family "Bacterial large subunit ribosomal RNA". The record is from RNAcentral. Lineage: Bacteria; Pseudomonadati; Pseudomonadota; Gammaproteobacteria; Enterobacterales; Enterobacteriaceae. RNAcentral also lists the same sequence under 1 other name.
GGUUAAGCGACUAAGCGUACACGGUGGAUGCCCUGGCAGUCAGAGGCGAUGAAGGGCGUGCUAAUCUGCGAUAAGCGCCGGUAAGGUGAUAUGAACCGUUAUAACCGGCGAUACCCGAAUGGGGAAACCCAGUGUGACUCGUCACACUAUCAUUAACUGAAUCCAUAGGUUAAUGAGGCGAACCGGGGGAACUGAAACAUCUAAGUACCCCGAGGAAAAGAAAUCAACCGAGAUUCCCCCAGUAGCGGCGAGCGAACGGGGAGGAGCCCAGAGCCUGAAUCAGCAUGUGUGUUAGUGGAAGCGUCUGGAAAGGCGCGCGAUACAGGGUGACAGCCCCGUACACAAAAGCGCAUGUGCUGUGAGCUCGAUGAGUAGGGCGGGACACGUGGUAUCCUGUCUGAAUAUGGGGGGACCAUCCUCCAAGGCUAAAUACUCCUGACUGACCGAUAGUGAACCAGUACCGUGAGGGAAAGGCGAAAAGAACCCCGGCGAGGGGAGUGAAAAAGAACCUGAAACCGUGUACGUACAAGCAGUGGGAGCACAGGUUUACCUGUGUGACUGCGUACCUUUUGUAUAAUGGGUCAGCGACUUAUAUUCUGUAGCAAGGUUAACCGAAUAGGGGAGCCGGAGGGAAACCGAGUCUUAAUUGGGCGUUAAGUUGCAGGGUAUAGACCCGAAACCCGGUGAUCUAGCCAUGGGCAGGUUGAAGGUUGGGUAACACUAACUGGAGGACCGAACCGACUAAUGUUGAAAAAUUAGCGGAUGACCUGUGGCUGGGGGUGAAAGGCCAAUCAAACCGGGAGAUAGCUGGUUCUCCCCGAAAGCUAUUUAGGUAGCGCCUCGUGAAUUCAUCUCCGGGGGUAGAGCACUGUUUCGGCUAGGGGGCCAUCCCGGCUUACCAACCCGAUGCAAACUGCGAAUACCGGAGAAUGUUAUCACGGGAGACACACGGCGGGUGCUAACGUCCGUCGUGAAGAGGGAAACAACCCAGACCGCCAGCUAAGGUCCCAAAGUCAUGGUUAAGUGGGAAACGAUGUGGGAAGGCCCAGACAGCCAGGAUGUUGGCUUAGAAGCAGCCAUCAUUUAAAGAAAGCGUAAUAGCUCACUGGUCGAGUCGGCCUGCGCGGAAGAUGUAACGGGGCUAAACCAUGCACCGAAGCUGCGGCAGCGAACGUAUCACUUAAAGCGAUUCAGCGGGUUACGAUUGACGGAGCGAAGCGACGUCAAAGCGUAUACAAAGUCGAGUCGGUUUAAGGAUACGUUCGUUGGGUAGGGGAGCGUUCUGUAAGCCUGUGAAGGUGUGUCGUGAGGCAUGCUGGAGGUAUCAGAAGUGCGAAUGCUGACAUAAGUAACGAUAAAGCGGGUGAAAAGCCCGCUCGCCGGAAGACCAAGGGUUCCUGUCCAACGUUAAUCGGGGCAGGGUGAGUCGACCCCUAAGGCGAGGCCGAAAGGCGUAGUCGAUGGGAAACGGGUUAAUAUUCCCGUACUUGGUGUUACUGCGAAGGGGGGACGGAGAAGGCUAUGUUGGCCGGGCGACGGUUGUCCCGGUUUAAGCGUGUAGGUGUGUGUUCCAGGUAAAUCCGGUUCACUUUAACACUGAGGCGUGAUGACGAGGCACUACGGUGCUGAAGCAACAAAUGCCCUGCUUCCAGGAAAAGCCUCUAAGCAUCAGGUAACAUCAAAUCGUACCCCAAACCGACACAGGUGGUCAGGUAGAGAAUACCAAGGCGCUUGAGAGAACUCGGGUGAAGGAACUAGGCAAAAUGGUGCCGUAACUUCGGGAGAAGGCACGCUGACACGUAGGUGAAGUGAUUUACUCAUGGAGCUGAAGUCAGUCGAAGAUACCAGCUGGCUGCAACUGUUUAUUAAAAACACAGCACUGUGCAAACACGAAAGUGGACGUAUACGGUGUGACGCCUGCCCGGUGCCGGAAGGUUAAUUGAUGGGGUCAGCGCAAGCGAAGCUCCUGAUCGAAGCCCCGGUAAACGGCGGCCGUAACUAUAACGGUCCUAAGGUAGCGAAAUUCCUUGUCGGGUAAGUUCCGACCUGCACGAAUGGCGUAAUGAUGGCCAGGCUGUCUCCACCCGAGACUCAGUGAAAUUGAACUCGCUGUGAAGAUGCAGUGUACCCGCGGCAAGACGGAAAGACCCCGUGAACCUUUACUAUAGCUUGACACUGAACAUUGAGCCUUGAUGUGUAGGAUAGGUGGGAGGCUUUGAAGCGUGGACGCCAGUCUGCGUGGAGCCGACCUUGAAAUACCACCCUUUAAUGUUUGAUGUUCUAACGUGGACCCGUGAUCCGGGUUGCGGACAGUGUCUGGUGGGUAGUUUGACUGGGGCGGUCUCCUCCUAAAGAGUAACGGAGGAGCACGAAGGUUGGCUAAUCCUGGUCGGACAUCAGGAGGUUAGUGCAAUGGCAUAAGCCAGCUUGACUGCGAGCGUGACGGCGCGAGCAGGUGCGAAAGCAGGUCAUAGUGAUCCGGUGGUUCUGAAUGGAAGGGCCAUCGCUCAACGGAUAAAAGGUACUCCGGGGAUAACAGGCUGAUACCGCCCAAGAGUUCAUAUCGACGGCGGUGUUUGGCACCUCGAUGUCGGCUCAUCACAUCCUGGGGCUGAAGUAGGUCCCAAGGGUAUGGCUGUUCGCCAUUUAAAGUGGUACGCGAGCUGGGUUUAGAACGUCGUGAGACAGUUCGGUCCCUAUCUGCCGUGGGCGCUGGAGAACUGAGGGGGGCUGCUCCUAGUACGAGAGGACCGGAGUGGACGCAUCACUGGUGUUCGGGUUGUCAUGCCAAUGGCACUGCCCGGUAGCUAAAUGCGGAAGAGAUAAGUGCUGAAAGCAUCUAAGCACGAAACUUGCCCCGAGAUGAGUUCUCCCUGAGACUUAAAGUCUCCUGAAGGAACGUUGAAGACGACGACGUUGAUAGGCCGGGUGUGUAAGCGCAGCGAUGCGUUGAGCUAACCGGUACUAAUGAACCGUGAGGCUUAACCUU